This 9837-nucleotide long non-coding RNA is filed under the name Dendronephthya gigantea. Its description in RNAcentral is "uncharacterized LOC114522333, transcript variant X2". The record is from RNAcentral. Lineage: Eukaryota; Metazoa; Cnidaria; Anthozoa; Malacalcyonacea; Nephtheidae.
UUAGGGAUGAGAACUUGCUACUCAGUGAAAGGGGCAAUAGUUCUUGACUGGAACAAGCAGUUGUUGGCCGAGGAGUAUCAAGAUGUGAAAUGGUGCCUUUGGCAUCAUUUAAGUGCUGGACCCAACAGGGUGUUGGGUUGUGGGAAUUGUUCAAUUGCAGAAACAUCACGGAAAUGAAAUUUCUUGGAUAGUUCCUCAGUUCAAGUAUUUGCCUGCGGUGAACUAUUUCAAAUGUUGAAAAUAUGAUGAAGUUGAUGUGUUCUAAUUAAUGGUUGAUGUGUCGCCUUGGUAGAUUUGUCGUGUUGGUAGAUUUGGUGGUCCAUGAAGUGUGUGGUCACACUGGUUUGGUAGUUGUGUAGGGAAGAGUGUGUAUAAGGGUGUAGAUCACUAGAUAGCCUGUUAUUCUUCAUGAAGUAUCCUACUUACAUCAAAUAAAAUAGAUAUAGCUCCAGGCACUACCAUCCAAAUUGAUAAAAAAAAAUCAAAUGAAGUGUAAAUAUUAUAUUCCCUAUCUUCUAAAAGGCCACUGGCAUAGAGUUAAUUUCAACAACCUUACAAAAAUCAUCUAUUCUAGACAUGGAGAUAAUACCUAUUUUGUACAUUGUAAUCUAUUAGGGUCAAAUCUGAUGUUUGCAUUGGUACAAAUUUGAAGAAUAAUGUUAAUGUUCCAAAGAAGGAAUAUCACAACUGAUGUGAAAUUCAGGCAAACUUAUUCCUUUAUUCAGAUUCUUCAUUCAUUUGACAUACAGUAGACAUUUAUUUGAUUUAAUUUAACAGAUUAGACUACUUUGAAAGAAUGCACUUACCUGAUAAUUUCAAACACAUUUGCUUUUAGCAUUCAAGUCCCAUCUCUCUCAAUAAAGAUUGCAAAGAAAGCAGUAUAUUUCUCAAGUUGUCUGGUUGGUUCCAAAUGAAAAAUUAGGCCGGUAUCAUAAUCAGGCAUCCAUUUAAAGUUAUUGCUUCUAAUAUGAAUUUAAUGCUGCUGGAUGGCAGGCAAGUGUUUAUUGCGACCAAAAAUUGCAAAGUACCUUGUGUGUUUGCAUCCAUAAAUUGUGCAGGACAUCAAUGCCAAUGGCGCGUGAAUUUCCUGUAAGAAGUCUCGGUAGCCUCUGUCUUAAGAAAAAGUGGAAAUUGAGCUAUUUUCGCCUAUUCAACCGUUUGGGAAUUUGGGGUCAAUAACAGCCUUGAUCUUCAACUAUAAAUUCAGUAAUUCUUCUACCGCAUGUUGGCUUCGAGUGUGUGAACUGUUACAAAAAAUGUAGUGUCUUCAAAUGUGAAAAUAUUGCUGCCCGUAUGGUUAAACCAUGCUCACCACAACCUUUGUCAUAUUGGUACCUGAUCAUUUGUAUACCAUUGUGUUGUGCCAAGUUUCUCGGUGUUCUAAUGUAUUCCUAAAAGGCUAUCAGGUGAAAUCCAGAUAAUACGACAGUUGCAGAUGUCGGUAUGUCACACAGAAAUUACUUGAGAUAUACAAUUUUGUUCCUUUUGCAUGCAAUUUCUUUCUAAUUUGGUGAUGCAACUUCAGAAUGCAAAAAUGAAGGUGUUACAGUAACUUGGGUGGGAUGGGGCAACUUUUAUUUUGGUUGAAUUUCUAGGAUGCGUUACUACUCGUCCAGCUGUACAUUCUAAUAUAAAGUAAGAUCCAUAACAAAGUGGUUCCGGCUAAGAAGUAAUGGUUUCAGCAUGUUUUUCAUUCAUUCUUCAUCGCUCGCAAAUAUCAUUUCCAAAUGAUUUAAUGUAAUGGGAAGAGUGAGUCGGUCAAUAACCAAGUGAGUCUCUUCAAUGCUGGUCUUGAAUCACUUUCCGGUCGAUUGUGUGUGUUCCUACUUUUCAGAGUCAAACUGCAAGCAAAAACACUUAAUAUAACAAGGACAAGGUACGAAAAACUUUCAGCUGCGAGUUUCCGGUUUGCAUUUUUAUACGAUUUUUCAGAAAAAUUAUCUACACCACAAGAAAUUGCAGAAAAAAAUGAAGUGAAAAUUUUUGAUGGAAAAGGUUUUGACAUUGUAUCUUCUGGCUUUCGUGUGCAUGAAUUUGUAUCGUGCCCGUUCUUUCCUAUCCGAUCUUUCAGCGAGCGUGGAUUAAAAGUGAAUGGCUUGGACUCUUGAUAUUAACUUGAAGAGGUUAAAUUUAAAGUUUUAAACCGUUUGAAAAGGCGUCCAACUGCGAAGAAAAUAAUUUAUUGGUUCCGGACUCCAUGUCAGACGACCAGUUCUUUGGAAUUUGAAAGAUCGAUUAGCUAUGCCUAUGAUAUUUUUGAAAGAAAUCAUCUGAAUAAGCGUGAAAAUGAAAUAGAACGGCUCGUAUAAUUUUGAAGGUAUGCAGAUUAUUUUCGAAAAAAUGUUCAUUUUUGUGCGUCGUCUUGAAAACAUUCUUUCAGAAAAGCAUUGAAAAAAGAUCCAAUCUUCAGCCAAUCGAAUUGAUAUUAUUCAGCAAGAUGUGUUAACGUUAGUCAUGUUGCGACUGAGGUCUCAUUGGGAAAGGUACAACAGAGUAUGCGAACUUUUUGUAUUUGGUCGCGUUGUUUUUAUGUUCACUUUUGUAGAAAUGAACUAAAAAUUUUCAAAAGAAAAUCUAUAUCUGGCGUUGAACAUCGUAUGACAGCAGUUUGAAUUGAGAAUAGAAAAAGAAUUUCAGUCUUUCUGGUUGAAAAGAAAAUGUAUAAAUUGCCAUUGGAGGAGUGAUAUAGGCUGUCUUGAAAACAUCAAAUGUGCUAUUAGUCUUGGGUACCUACUGCAAUUUGUGUCCAGAAAAGUUCAAAUUUGAAGAAUAUAUAACGAAUGCGAAAAAGUCUGGUGUUGCAAACAAAAGAAAAAUGUUUUUAAAAAGGUACCCAAUGGUUUUAUAUUUCUCUUGCGUGUUCCGUGUUUAUGUACACCAUUUUAGAAAUGCAAGUCCACAUUGCCGAAAAGACAAAGCCACGCCAUUUCCUCUUCAUAAACCUUUUGAAAAUGUUCCAUCCUGUGGCAUGCAUGUAACGAAAAAAUGUCGAAGAAUAGGACUUGGGACUGGUGCGCCAGCGUGGUGUGUUCGAGAUUAAAAAUUUGUGCGCUAUUCAAGAAAAGUAAAAUGUGGGGUAUGAAAUUAAGUGGCAGCUGUUAGAAACCUGAAAUUUGUACUUUUGUAUUCGUUUCCAAAAUUGGAAUUUUGUGUGUGUGUUCGAAAAGGUUUGUUUCAGAUUCAUCUGGAAUGUAUUUGAUCUUGACCAACCCAGCAUUUUACCUGCGCCUGCGGUGGAAAGCAAACGUAUUUUUAAAAAGAUGCAAAGGUACGCUUCCACAAGUGUUAUGCGUUUCGAAUUCCAUUUGUGUUCAUGCAAUUCUAGUCCAAUCGAAGUCAACUUGAACGAUAAAUCGCAGCUCCAAAAUCGCGAAGUAUUCAAUGGAAAACGCUAACCAGCUAUUUCAUACAGUAAAAUUUUCGAAAAGGUAUGAGAACUUCUUGCGGUUUGUGUGUUUGUAUUUGCUUGCAGUCUUUGUAGAUCGAUCAACUCCGAUGAAGGUUUGAGUGUUGGAAAACCAGCGUUUUGCGGAAAAUGACCUUACAGCGCGAAAUCACACGGUAGUUCUGCUUUUUGUUGGUUCGUUUUCGUUUGCAAAUCCAGUCUCUUGACAGGAAGCCGUUUCCGAUUAAUGUGAAACCGACUCGAAAAUGAGAACAUCCAGCUGCUUGAAAGAAUUCACUGAAUUGCGUCGUUCUUCGCGUUUUGCAAUCAUAAAAGGUACACGUUUUUUCCCGCUUUGUGUUUGUUGCUUUGCAUGUGCCUAGAUCGGCAGGAUCCAACGAAGUUUAUGAAGACGGAACACCAAAAAGAGCGAAUAAUGACCAUGCGCAGCCAUUCGCCGAUGCGGAUAUUUUGCUUUUUGUUAAAUUUGUCAAAUGCUAAAAACUCAACAGCAAGAAAGAAAACCAGUGCAAGUGGGACCGCUAAAACAGGUAUGCGGAACGUUAGUAUGUUUUGCGUCAGCUUUUUAAGAAAAAUGCCAGCAACAAAUUUAAAGUUGAAAGAAGAUUGAAAAGGAAUGAAGAGCCGAGGCAGUCUUGCGGAAGGUAUGCAUUCUCGCGGAGAUUCCGUUUUUUGUUUGCAUUUCGAAUAUUAUAGUUACAGGCGCGAUCGUGGUUCGCAUACGGUUCUGAAGAAUGAAAACAAAAAGGUACAAACAAACAUCGUGUGCUUUGUUGUGUUUGCUUUCCCAUCCACUUUUUCAGAAAGAUAUUCUUAAUUUGGCUGUACAAAAUAAUCCGUAUUUGGAAUCUCAUGAUUGAUCGAACGGAGAAACGUUACAGAGGGUGUUAAGAAAAGUAUACUCGAAUAUAAUUGUACUACAAUAAGCGUUGGAGAGAUUUCAUGAACUACAAAUCAAGAAUUCGGUUGUCUUUUUGUUUGUGCGAGACGCCAGACGUUCAGAAAAGCGCGUGAAAAUACUUCAAUCGUGAAAGCUUCAUAAAAAGAUUUGAAACGCCGCAGAGAUGAUUCGGAAUAUAAAAAGGUACCCAAAACGUUCAAAAUUUUGCUUUCGUGCGUUUGUGUUUAUGUGUAACCUUUUAGAGAUGCCUAAGUUAAAGAAAGCCGAAGCCGAAGUUGGUUGCCUUGUCGAAAAUGCUGCAUACGAUCUUAUGUAAACAGAAAAAGGUCAAAAAGAAAAGUUUCUAGAGAUUAGAGGUUUCGUAUACUUUUUGUAUUCAUUUUUCGACCGAAUUUUCCAUUCGGGUGUGUUCGGAAGGUUUGUUUCAGAAUUGCGUUUUCGAAGAUUCAAAUGAAUUCCGAUGAAGGAGCCAGUUGCGAAUUUGUAGUUUAAAGAAGUUUAUCUCGAAAAUCGGGCAACAUUGCAAAAACGGCGGAAAACAGUCGCAUUCUAAAGAAUCCAGAGGUACGAGGUGCUUUUCUUUUCAAAUUCCAUUUGCGUUCCAUUCUAUUUCAGUCGAUGGCAACUUGAAUGCUAUACCGCAAUAUUCAAUGGAAAACAACUGUUUCAAAUAAUAAUAUUGCCUGAAAGGUACGCGAUUUUUGUGCGCGGUUUGUGUUUUCGCUCGCAGUCUUUCUAGAUCAACAAACACCAAUGAAGUUUUGAGUGUGGAUCGCCUUGGUUCGUUGUUGCUUCUCUACUUCCAGGCCUCUAUCAAACUAAUUCCGAAUGAAAAUAUAUCAUUGAAAUCAGAACGCUUUGAUAGAAAGGUAUGCGGAAUUUUCUUUUCGUUCGUUUGUUUUUGCAUCCAGUAUUUCAGAAACUCCUGUCAAAUUGGAGGUAAAAGAUUCAAUCGUAAAAGAGACAUUAGCGUCCGAAAAGCACGAAGUAUUCGGUAUUAUUCCGAUUGGGUUUUCGUUAAAUCAUUUUGGCCAACGUGAAUCAAGAAAUGGUAUGUGGUGGGUUUGUUGUCAUCGGUGUUUUGUUUUGUUCCGAGUGGUAUAUGGCUCCCCGGUGGUGUUUCUGGUUACCUGAGGUUCUUUCAGGAGAAUGGGCAGAGAAUGUUCAAUGUUCUGCAAAUAGGCUUGGUAAAACCUCUGCAACUGUUGAAGUCGUGUUUUGAGAAAGAUGAAAAACGCGUGUAAAAGGUAGGAUUUUUCGGUUUUUCGUUCUUAUUAGUAGCCAAAAUUCCUUGCAGGUGAUUUGAGAAGAUGGAAAGGUAUUACAUGUUUGUAUUGUGGAGUGUGCACACCAUGGUGUUAUAUGAAGUGAAAAUUAUCAGUAUGGUCGUUAUCAAGAUUCAUGUGAGAGUCAGCUUGGGUCAGCCAAGGUGUGGUCAGCUUCAUUUGGGGGUGAAAAUGUGGUGCAAGAUGGUCUGAUGGAACGUGAAGAUAUUGAUUUGGAGAUAGGAGUCGGAUGUUUAUGCUCUUUGCAGUUUUGGAGGGACCUGUUGCCUGAAUCCUUUGUCUAGGUGAAUAGAUAUAUACGUAAACUAGCAAGAUGAAGCAGACUGAAUGGGUGGGAUGUGAAGAGUGGUCUUCGACUAGAAUGGCUUCGAGCUGAAAGAAGAGAAGGAGAUGUAGGGUUAGCUGAACACGAAAAGUCAAGGAGAUGUAGGGUUAGCUGAACACGAAAAGUCAAGGAGAUGUAGGGUUAGCUGAACACGAAAAGUCUGCUGAUGAAGUGGUGUUUGGUGUCCAAGUGUUGGUCAGUCAUCUCUGCGUGUGAUCGGUGUGGAAGUGGUUGCAGAUGUCCGGAAUCUUUUGGGAAAGCGUAGUGAAGUGAAGAGAAGCCAUUAAAAAGAGUUAGGAGUUAGGGGAAUAUCAAGAAUUAGUGAGGAUUGGGAUGGAGAAUAGAAGGUAGGAUUUUCUUUCUUUUAGUUUGCCAAGAUUUAUUGCAGGUAGAUAUGAAGAAGGCGAAGUGUAAAGUAGAUUGAUCUCGCAAGGCAAGGAAUGAAUUGCACAGUUUGAUAUCGAAGCGUUCGUUGAGUGGGUGGGCUGUUGGCAGGACUUUAUCGAGCUGUUGAUGGAAAAGGUAAAGAGUGAAACAGAGUGGCUGUGAGGUUGGUGAUAAUGUCUGAACUACAAGGAAAAUCCAGAAAACGUUGGUAAGACAUGAAGAAGAAAGGGUGCUGCUUCCUGAUGUCGUCUUGAUGUCGUGUUCUUGUUGCCCGAGUUUUCUUUGCUGGUGCGGUAUGCGAGUGAGACGACAGAAGACAUGAAUAAGAAAGUUAAGAAUAGAAGGAAGGAUCAACAAAGGUGUGGUGUACGUGAGUGUGUUGAAGGCACUAAUAUCGUGAAAGGUAAAGUUUUAUUUCUGGCGUUGUUUGCUGAGAUUUAAUUGUAGGUAAAUAAAGAUAUGAAGUGUGGUGCAGAACGAUUUUAUGGGGCAUUGAGGAAUUACACAAUGAGUAAAGUUGAAUAGACUUUGGUGGUGGUGAGCGACGCUUUUAGAUAAACGAAUAAAAAAGAUGAAGAGUGCUACAGGAGAUGGUUUGUUCGAAUGAGAGUUUAACAAUGGUAAUGAGGGUGAGUGAGGAAAACUAUAGGAUUUGAUGAAAAGAUGAAAGGUAUGGUGCUUCCUGGUAUGGUAUCCCUGUUGGUCAGCAAGUGAGUAAAGCGCAGAAUUAGAAAAAUGCUGAGAGAAAUGCUGAGAGAAAUGAUGACAGAGAUUUAAUAUGAAUGGCGAAGAAAGCGUAACAAGGCGAGGCAUGCGAGUGUGGUUAGGUAAGAUAAUCUUAUUUUGUAACUAGGAUUCAUUCCAGGUGAAAGAAAUGAAGUUGGGUUCAAGCAGUCAUAAUAGGAUGAUCCAAAGAAAGAUAUAUUAGUAUGUGGGAUGAUGUGAUACUUCGACUGUACAGAAGGAAACAGUGGUGGAAAACGUGGAGAAGAAGCCGUGAAUGAAGAUGGUAAUGCUGCUGUGGCUAGGUCUUCUGUUGGGUUGAAUAGUGCAGAUGGUGAGAUUGGUUUUCUGUAGCGUCGGAGAAAAGCAAGACAUGGUGACAACGCAAUAACGAGGGAGGGUCAGAUUUCUAGGUGCGUUCCAUUUCGAUCAGGAUUUCUUGGUAAAUGAAGGAGAUGAGUGGGUACAAAUCACGGCGGGAUCAAGGUCCAUGGCGAAGACAUAUAAGAUCAGAUGUGAAGGAGAAUGGUAUGCUGCUUUCUAAUGUUGUGUUCCCGUUGGCCGCCAGUCUUUCCUGCAGGUCAGUGAACUGGUUGGUGUUGUGGUGCAGAAUGUUUUGUUCGAUUGUGGUGCAGUGUGAACUAAAAUGAGAUAGCAGUGUGCGUGUGGCAGGAGAUCAAGAAAGAGGAAGGUAGGGUUCUUUGUGGAGUAUCCGUCGAUUCUCUGUGCAUAUGAAAUGAAAGACCAAGUAUUAUACGUAAUGGCUUGGUUGAGAGAAGUGCUGUAGAAACUAGAACAAAACGGAAUAAAACGUGGAUAUAGAAGACGGAUGAGGUAUGUAGCUUCAUUGGUAUUAUGUAUCUAUAUGUGGUAUGUGUUCUCUCGGUCAGGAUUGGUAUAGAACGUUGGACCUAGUGGAUCGUGAAUCGGCAGCCGAGAUUCUCUACAGAUGACUGAGAGUGGUCUGGUGUAUCCUGGUGUGUGGUGUGAGCUUGGCAAUGGGAAGCAGAGUAUCUAUGGCAGGUGUAAUUGAAGUUGGAAUCUGUUGGUAGCUAUGAUUUUCGACAUGCAAAUGAUUUUGAAGAAUGUUAGAACAGAAAGGUGUGGUGAACUAUGAAUUUUGAAGAAUGUUAGAAGAGAAUGGUGUGGUCAACUAUAGUAGAGUGUAAACUGUCAGAACGACGAGGAUCCAUGGUAGGAUUAGCCUAGAGAAGGGGAAUGGAAUGAAGUCAGUUGGUGGGGCAAUGAUUCGACAGAUCAAACAAUUCGACAGGCAACUAUGGACUGAAUCAACAGAGGUGUGGAAGGUAAGAUUUGUGGUUUUGUAUCUGUUGGUAUGGAUUGCUGAGAUUCUCUACAGAUGGAGUAAGGCGGUUUGAAGGAUCGUGGCAGUUAGAGUAAGGCGGUUUGAAGGAUCGUGGAACUAGCAGAUAAUUUGUGGCUGGAAGGCGUAAAUGAGCGACGAGAGAUUCCUGGUCGUGUAUCACUCGGCAGAUAUGAUUCUCUAAGGAUGAAACGACGUCGGCGGGGAGUAUUUCGAUGAAGUUUCAUUCCACCUGAAUAACUUGGUAAUUCCUGAAUAACCAUAAAUAGGAUGAAGAGUUCUGGAUGCAUACAUAGAACAGCGAUGAAAUAUGUCUUUAAGGGAGGUAAGAUCCUUUAUAUAACCUGUUUGUUGCCGUCGACAAGGUUGUUCUGUAGGUGGUAUGUAAGUGGGAGCGGUCUUGAACUACCGAAGAUAUAAGUGAGACAAAUGAAGAUAUGAAGGUGGAUGUGGUCCGGAAUUCUCAGCAGCUAGGAGAGUGGAAAUAGAAUAGGAUGGUUAAAGCGUGAUUGUAGGGAAUUCGUAGAUUAAAAGAAAGAAUCAUUUGGCAACGAUUUUGGUUGACUGGGAGAAGAGAAGAAAUCGGGGUAUGACAUGCAUUGUUGCAUUCGUUUUUGUGCAGUGGAUGUGGGUUAGAUUUGUUAUUAGGUAUCGAGAUUGAAAGCAAUACAAGGAUAAAGAGCAAUGCUGCUAACAUCGUGAUAUGGUACAGAGAAGGAAGGGAAGAAGUAGGUUUUGAUUGGUUCAUCGUGUGUCUACGUGUCCGGAAUAUGUGAUCAGGUUCUUUCAUAGUUGUCAAAGAAGAGAGAAGAAUCCUGAAGAAAGGGAAGGAAGAACAUGGUUUGAAUUAAGGUCUCCGUGUCUCAGUGUAUUGGUAUCCUAUUGUGUUGGAGUAUGCAGUAAAAAUAGAGGAAGAACAUGAAGAGAAAAGGGGAAACAACGUGAUAAGGUAUGAUGCAAUGUGUGGUUGAUAUGUUUGUUGUCAGUUCUUUUUGUAGGAUUCAGUGAACUGGUGACUGGUCUACGUGUUUAGUAAAAUAAUCUGGUCUAUGCAAGAAGACACAUUUGUCCAAUAGUUAUGACAGAGACAUCAAUUCAAUUGACCAUGGAGACCAGAAGCUAAUCCUGUCAGAGACGAGAUGGUCCCGAUGUUCUGAAGAGUGAGAAACGUUGAAAACCUCAAGAAUUCGUGUGAUAUUCGGCGGAAUGAAGACCACAGCUGAACGGAUGAUGAAGAGCAACAAAGGAAUUCCAAUCCUACUAUCGCUAAAAAUGGAUUCGAACAUUAAAACUUUUGCUAUUUAACCCCCUAUAGCUCGAUAUGUACACUUGCAUUGGGGUAGGGGAAUACGUUUCCAGAACUCUGGUUUUUCGUAUCCGGCAAGUGUAGAUUGUAUUGUAAAAUAUAAAAUCUUGGCACAUUGUAGACGCAUUUUGAAAAACAGUAGUAACUUUGUGAAUUGUAAAUAAAGAUGUGUCGAGAAA